CACCGCGGUUAUACGAGAGGUUCAAGUUGACAAAAUCCGGCGUAAAGCGUGGUUAUGAAUACACCCUACUAAAGCCAAAUGCCCACAAAGCUGUUAUACGCACUCGAGGGCCAGAAACCCACCAACGAAAGUGGCUUUAUUCACCUGAACCCACGAAAGCUAUGAAA
RNAcentral lists this ribosomal RNA (167 nucleotides) under Choerodon azurio (Azurio tuskfish). RNAcentral's name for it is "partial 12S rRNA". The record is from RNAcentral. Lineage: Eukaryota; Metazoa; Chordata; Actinopteri; Labriformes; Labridae.